This 253-nucleotide ribosomal RNA is filed under the name uncultured bacterium. Its description in RNAcentral is "partial 16S ribosomal RNA". It matches the Rfam family "Bacterial small subunit ribosomal RNA", at positions 524 to 776 of the family's 1533-position model. The record is from RNAcentral.
UACGUAGGGUCCGAGCGUUGUCCGGAAUUACUGGGCGUAAAGAGCUCGUAGGUGGUUUGUCGCGUUGUUCGUGAAAACUCACAGCUUAACUGUGGGCGUGCGGGCGAUACGGGCAGACUUGAGUACUGCAGGGGAGACUGGAAUUCCUGGUGUAGCGGUGGAAUGCGCAGAUAUCAAGAGGAACACCUGCGGCGAAGGCGGGUUGCUGGGCCGACACUGACGCUGAGGCGCGAAAGCUAGGGGAGCGAACGGG